CGGAGGGUGCGAGCGUUGUUCGGAAUUAUUGGGCGUAAAGCGCACGUAGGCGGCCGGGUAAGUCUCACUGUGAAAGCCCGGGGCUCAACCCCGGGAGGCCAGGGGAUACUGCUCGGCUGGAGACAGGCAGAGGCUGGUGGAAUUCCGGGUGUAGCGGUGGAAUGCGUAGAGAUCCGGAGGAGCACCUGAGGCGAAGGCGGCCAGCUGGGCCUGAUCUGACGCUGAGGUGCGAAAGCGUGGGGAGCGAACAGGAUUAGAUACCCUGGUAGUCCACGCCGUAAACGAUGGGCACUAGAUGCCGGUGGGAACGACCCCUUCGGUGUCGCAGCUAACGCAUUAAGUCGCCCCGCCUGGGGAGUACGGCCGCAAGGCUG
This 374-nucleotide ribosomal RNA is filed under the name uncultured organism. Its description in RNAcentral is "bacterial SSU rRNA". It matches the Rfam family "Bacterial small subunit ribosomal RNA", at positions 526 to 896 of the family's 1533-position model. The record is from RNAcentral.